RNAcentral lists this ribosomal RNA (495 nucleotides) under uncultured bacterium. RNAcentral's name for it is "partial 16S ribosomal RNA". It matches the Rfam family "Bacterial small subunit ribosomal RNA", at positions 28 to 507 of the family's 1533-position model. The record is from RNAcentral.
GAUGAACGCUGGCGGCGUGCCUAAUACAUGCAAGUCGAGCGACAAGACGAGGAGCUUGCUCCUCUGACGUUAGCGGCGGACGGGUGAGUAACACGUGGCUAACCUACCUAUAAGACUGGGAUAACUUCGGGAAACCGGAGCAAAUAACGGGUCAUAUAUUGAAAGGCAUGGUUCAAUAGAGAAAGACGGUUUUGCUGUCAAUUAUAGAUGGCUCCGCGCCGUAUUAGCUAGUUGGUAAGGUAACGGCUUACCAAGGAAACGGUGUCUAGCCGACCUGAGAGUGUGAUCAGCCACUCUGGAAGUGAGACACCGUCCACACUUCUACGAGACGCAGGUGUAGAGAAUCGUCCGAUAGGGGCGAAAGCCAGACAGAGCAGCGCCGCGGAAGUGAAGAAGGUCAUCGUUUUGUAAUACUCUUUUAUUAGAGAAAAACAAAUGUGUAAGUAACUGCACGCCGUGACGGUACCUAAUGAGAAAGCCACGGCUAACUACGUG